GGCUCGGUAGCUCAGUUGGUAGAGCAUAGGACUGAAAAUCCUAGUGUCGGCGGUUCAAUCCCGUCCCGAGCCA
This 73-nucleotide transfer RNA is filed under the name Paenibacillus sp. FSL R5-0345. RNAcentral describes it as "tRNA-Phe (GAA) (tRNA-Phe-GAA-3-1)". It matches the Rfam family "tRNA". From Rfam's summary of the family: Transfer RNA (tRNA) molecules are approximately 80 nucleotides in length. Lineage: Bacteria; Bacillati; Bacillota; Bacilli; Caryophanales; Paenibacillaceae. The record is from RNAcentral.